RNAcentral lists this ribosomal RNA (492 nucleotides) under uncultured bacterium. RNAcentral describes it as "partial 16S ribosomal RNA". It matches the Rfam family "Bacterial small subunit ribosomal RNA", at positions 29 to 507 of the family's 1533-position model. The record is from RNAcentral.
AGUGAACGCUGGCGGUAGGCCUAACACAUGCAAGUCGAACGGCAGCACAGUAAGAGCUUGCUCUUACGGGUGGCGAGUGGCGGACGGGUGAGGAAUACAUCGGAAUCUACUUUUUCGUGGGGGAUAACGUAGGGAAACUUACGCUAAUACCGCAUACGACCUACGGGUGAAAGCAGGGGAUCUUCGGACCUUGCGCGAUUGAAUGAGCCGAUGUCGGAUUAGCUAGUUGGCGGGGUAAAGGCCCACCAAGGCGACGAUCCGUAGCUGGUCUGAGAGGAUGAUCAGCCACACUGGAACUGAGACACGGUCCAGACUCCUACGGGAGGCAGCAGUGGGGAAUAUUGGACAAUGGGCGCAAGCCUGAUCCAGCCAUACCGCGUGGGUGAAGAAGGCCUUCGGGUUGUAAAGCCCUUUUGUUGGGAAGGAAAAGCAGCAGGUGAAUACCCCGCUGUUCUGACGGUACCCAAAGAAUAAGCACCGGCUAACUUCGUG